This 102-nucleotide small nuclear RNA is filed under the name Mus spicilegus (steppe mouse). Lineage: Eukaryota; Metazoa; Chordata; Mammalia; Rodentia; Muridae. The record is from RNAcentral.
GUGCUCAGCAGCACAUAUACUAAAAUUAGAAUGAUACAGAGAAGAUUAGCAUGGUCCUUGCACAAGGAUGACACACAAAUUCAUGAAGCAUUCAAUAUUUUU